UGCCUGGUCGGAAACCAGGCCAACAGAAGGAG
Molecule: non-coding RNA, 32 nt
Filed under: unclassified sequences
Description: L31-Coriobacteria ribosomal protein leader
Rfam family: L31-Coriobacteria ribosomal protein leader
Source: RNAcentral